Molecule: long non-coding RNA, 1121 nt
Filed under: Eucalyptus grandis
Lineage: Eukaryota; Viridiplantae; Streptophyta; Magnoliopsida; Myrtales; Myrtaceae
Description: long non-coding RNA (EGRA_LNC007719)
Source: RNAcentral
CCUUAUUUGAUGAUGUGGCAGAAUUUGGGCCGUUGGAUCCUUUCCAAACGGGUGCUGACGUGGCAUGAUGCGUGCCAUUUGAUUUAAGCGUGGUGAGGAUCAAGGGAGAAUCGUCCGAUCUCGUGGAAUAAAUCGAGCCAUCCGAUCCUUUGAUUAAAUCUCAGCCGUUCGUUUGCUGUUGCACUCGGACGUAUCUUGAGCCGUCGGAUGUAGCGAAUAAAUCCUAGCCGUUCACUCUAAAUGAAGACACCCGAUCUUCUUCUUCUUCCUCGAGAAACCCCUGCGCAAUUCCCUGGAUUUGUAAUCGCCAUGGCUAGACCUUAAGACAAGGUGCUGUAAGUCCGACAAAGAGGACCACUCGAUCUCCCACCUUUACAUACAUCAAUGAGGCCAAUCGUUGAGAUUCCUCUUGGACUGCGAGUUAGUAUAUUCAGACGAGCAAGGGGACGGGUUCCAAUAGCCAAUAUUUGGCUUCGAAAUGGUAAGUAAGAGUCAUUUAGUAUUUAGUAGAAAACAUGUUACCUUUUCCCGUUCCUUCAUGGCUCGAUAUUGAGCCAAAGUAGCUUUAGGUCCCUCCAACUUUUCCUCCGCCAUUUUGAGUUCAUUCCACAGAGAGGACAGUCAGUUGAAGACUAUGAAGAUUGAUAGAUAUCCUUGUUUGAGUUCGGUUAGGGCUUGAGUUAGUGAGAAGAUCUUUGCCCUAUCAAGUUUCCCAUAUAUUUCUCGCAAAUUUUCCCAUAUCCCCUUUGCGUCUUCGAUUGGAGGAAGUCCUGUAGCAAACUCCGGUGUGAGGCAAUUCUCAAUCUAGGUCCGCAUGAGCUGAUUGCACUUCCUCCAUUGUUGUGCUAAUCGGUCGUUAGUCAGGAUUGAGACGGUCUCGUCAAUAAAACCCUCUUUGUCUUUGGUAAUCAAUGUUUGUCGAAGCUCGCGGAACUAGACAGAAUAGUUCUCUAGUUCGAAGAGUUGCUGUGUGAUGAGUCGAAGUUUGGGCUCGUCAGUGGCAAAUGUGUGCAAAGGAUGGUCGGGUUUUGGCCGGCCACCAGCGACACCUGCAAAAGGAAAAACACCAGGUCCAUAGGUCAAGUAGGAUUUCCACCCAUACUUGAUGGACCUGAUCCGUC